AGGAUUAACGCUGGCGGCGUGCCUGACACAUGCAAGUCGAACGAGGCCGCAAGGCCGAGUGGCGGACGGGUGAGUAACACGUGACCAACCAACCUCGAAGUUGGGAAUAGCUCUGCGAAAGUAGGGGUAAUACCGAAUGUGGCCCAGGGCGGGCAUCCGCCUUGGUCUAAAGAUUCAUCGCUUCGAGACGGGGUCGCGGCCUAUUAGCUUGUUGGUGAGGUAACGGCUCACCAAGGCGAUGAUGGGUAGCUGGUCUGAGAGGACGACCAGCCACACUGGGACUGAGACACGGCCCAGACUCCUACGGGAGGCAGCAGUGAGGAAUCUUCCGCAAUGGGCGAAAGCCUGACGGAGCAACGCCGCGUGUGGGAUGAAGACUCUAGGGUUGUAAACCACUGGUCGGAGGGGACGAUCGUGACGGUACCCUCAAGAAACGCCCCGGACUAACUACGUGCCAGCAGCCGC
RNAcentral lists this ribosomal RNA (465 nucleotides) under uncultured bacterium. RNAcentral describes it as "SSU rRNA". It matches the Rfam family "Bacterial small subunit ribosomal RNA", at positions 26 to 518 of the family's 1533-position model. The record is from RNAcentral.